Long non-coding RNA from Haemorhous mexicanus (house finch), 8966 nucleotides. RefSeq lists it as uncharacterized. The record is from RefSeq and is a predicted model, not a curated record. Lineage: Eukaryota; Metazoa; Chordata; Aves; Passeriformes; Fringillidae. The transcript is spliced from 4 exons.
GAAGCUUCUUGCUUGCUAAAGGAAUGCUCAAGCCUCAAAAGCACAAGAGCAAAUGGGGCAAGAGGAAUCUCUUGCCCAAACUAAAAAACUGAUAAACCUACAAUUGAAAUGGGUGGGGAAAAAAAAGAGGACUCUGACUUUCCAUUCAGGUUGUAAUUCUUGCUGGAUGCAUGUAUUUAUUUGAAUUACCUAGUGAAGGACACUUACUUGCUGCAGAUUUGGGAUAAAUCACAGCAGGACAGUUCAGCCUUUGACAAAAUGGAUCCAGAAGGUAUUAUAACAGCUCAGCUACACAAAUAACAUGCAAGCAGAAAUCAGACAGAAGAUAUCCCACAGGCUACGGGUUGGGCAGCUCCGAUUAAGACAGGUGCCAUCUUUUUCCUGCAGUACAUUUUCUUCACUUCUCCUGUUCAUAUUUAACUUCAAAGUGCCCGGCUCAGCCGCAUGUGAAGCUAGUCUUCAGGCACUGUUAAUACACACGGAAUUGUUCCAACAUCGCCUACUAAGUGUUUGUUUCCAGUGACAUAAAGACAACUCUAACAACAAAAGUGGACUUUUUAGUUCAUUCUUAGGGAAGUAGGUCCAACUGGGAUCCUUGGAAGUGGUAUGGGAGGUGGAAAAGACAUCCGGUAGCCACAUGACGAGGCUUGUUUUGCUGACAGAAGGCAAACAGAAAUAGGCAAGCUGAAGAAAGUUUAGGUUUGUUUCCUCAGCCUUGGGCAUAAGCCUAGAAUCCAGAUGAAGUAAGCGUGUGCUGAGCACAAGAUUUCACUGAUGCAUAAAGAUGUCAUCUCACUCACAAAUCUUUUUGCUGAGGUUGCUCAGUAUUUCCUGAUGCAGUUAACGAGGUGAGGUGCUCUGUUUGGGAAUUCUGGCUAGGUCUUUGGAGCAACUUCAACUCCCUCUGGUAAACCAGAGGAAAGCUGUGAGCAGUAGCAGCAAGGCAGCUCUGGCUUCACAGGCUCCCAGUGAAUCACCAUGCCAUCUGCAGGCAAAUCCCUAGACUCCAUGUUUCCAUAGAUCCAGCAGCCCUGGAGCCACACUUGUAUAGCCUGGUGAACACAAGAGCUCCUAUUCCAGUAACCACUAUGACUUGGCAGUUUCUUGUACCUCAGAGCAGGCUGAGUGGAUUUUGUUCUUCUAACCCCAAGCUGCCCUUUCAUUUGGACAUUAUAUGGGUGAAACCAUGUACUCACACUCUGUAAAGUGCUUAUUUUACAUGUUGCUGUCAAAGUGCAAGCAGAGUUUACCACAAUACUAAUAUUUCAUCCCAGUGGCUUCCCUAAGAUACGAGCAAUUCAGUGAAACAAAACAUUCUCUGUAUCCUCUGAAACUAGUUUUGAAAGCCCAGAUGGCAGAAAAUACCAUUGGUUUUAAUUAGCAAUAUCCUUCACAUGAAUCCCUUAUUAACCAAAAGAGCAUACUAUAUUUCAUCUCACUUCCUCUAGUUUACUUACUACUGCCUCUCUUCUCUGUGGUUUACCAGCAGGAAACCACUGGAGGGGACAUAUCCAGAUAAGAUUAAACAACAUAAUAUUAUCCUCUUUACUAUAACCAGGCUGACAGGUUUUUUUGCUAGAUGCUGAAAUGAGAUUCACAGCCAUUUUGGCUUCCAUUCACAAAGGAAAGAAACCAUUCUUAUAAGUCCACAAUACUUCACUAAUUCCUGAACUAUUUCACUUGUGCCAAGACAUUUUAUUUUAUUUCAUUUUUUUUUCACUGAAAUGCACUUUGGGCAGUAAUCCAGGUUUACCCUAGUUGAAUGUAAUAGGAAGAAGAAGCAGGGUGUCCUGGAAGUGGAUAUAUCUCCAAGGGUAAGACUGUUACAGAGCAAGGUUGCUGUGGGUACUGCUCUGCUGAGUGGAAAGUCACCAAGUGGCUUCUUUCUAGUGGCAGUGGGACAAAAGUGUGCCUGGCUCCAUACAUUUCUAGCUCAGCUUUCUCCUGACGGUCUUUUAAUGGAUACAAAACUUCAAGAGUACAUAUGAGAAAAAAGAGGCAGACAGGAGAGGAAACAAAGAUGUUUUUUUCUUGCACCAUGCUAAUCUCAUUCUGCCUUGGAUAUUCCCAGUCCAAAUUUUUUAUGCCUUGUCAUGCUGGGUAACGUAUAAACUCCCUGCAGGAGCGUGAGUAGAGCUGCAUAAAGCCUGGGACAUUUGCAGCCAUUGUAUACAUCACUUUUCACUGAGACUGGAGCAAUAUUAACCAAUAGCUAACAUGGAUGGUCACUUUCUACUUGCAAAAUCUCCCACAGUUUUUUAUGGGAUCAGUACUGUUCUGCAGUUCUGGCAGAAUGCUGCUGUGGUCUUUAUCAGAAACCUUCAGUGUCUUGAAAAGACAUCUCUAAUCCCUUAGCUGUUUCACAGAUACUGAGACCACAUUAAUUCCUAAAGAAUUUCUCCUGCCAGGUAACAGAAAGUUCACCCAGUAAGGGAAUCUCCUCACUGUAAAUAGGUUGCAACAUCCAACUGCUGAGGAGGGAGGGGAAAAAACUGGAGUAAAUUGGCAUGACGAGGCGUGUGAAUGCAGUCAGCCAGGGAGAAAAGACAGUCUAGGCAUCAAAAGGCAGGCUGCUUCAGCACAUCUCCAGGGCAACUUCUGCUGGCAGCUCUCUUAAUGUCUGCAUCUUAGGUCAGGCAAACUGAUAAUAUGCACUAAAAUUCCAUAUAAUUAUCACAGAGUUCAGUUCUUAACAUGACCACUCCUCUUCUUUUUUUGGUGUUUUUUUUUUUUUUUUUCUUGGUUGCUAUUAAUUUGACAAGCAUGGCUACUGGGACUGACAUUUUCCAGACUUCGUAUUAGCACAUGACAAGUUUUGAAAGAUGAAAGAAAAUCAGCAGAGCAAUUAAAGCAUGUAAAGAUUAUUUUUCACAUGGCCUAGGCAAAACCUUUGCACUUGAUGUAGCUCCAAAAAAUCUGAAGUUAGAAACUAAACAAAAUUAUUUUUAAAAAAUACUUAGCUCUUAAUAGAAAAAUGUUCAGAGCUAAUUUUUAAGACAUUUGAAGGUUUUGGCAUUUCUUAGUUGGCAUUUUUACUAUGUUUUUUAAAUUUUUGUUUUAAGAUGCUGUAAUGAGAUAUAACUGGGUGGGUUGUUUCUCAAAUAGAAUAAAAGAUUAUACAUAUUUAGACUAGACUAGAUUAUAUAUAUUUAGACUAGUUCUUUCAAUAACUGAGGCAGGGUGAAGAAGAGAAGGCACUGUGAAAUCACUAUUGAUCUCACCGCACUGAACUAAUUUAUUUGGGAAAGACUUAGGACAGUGCUGAGAAGUAUGGAAAAUCCAUUGAUAGAUAGAGAAAUUGAUCUUUGUUAAGGACAUUCUACAGGAAGAAAAUUAGUUAAUAUUUUUUCAAUGUUCCAUAAAGUCCAAGACUUCAAAGCUCCAAAGGCCCAUUUUUGAUAAUCUACUCUGACCUCCUGUAUAUGACAUGUCAUUGAACUUCUACGAAUUAAUUUUUGUUUCAAUUAUGUGUCUCCUAAAAAAAAUUCCAGUCAUUAUGUACAUAUUCGCACAAAAGGAAAAUUUACUGGAGUCCCUGGUACAUUGUUUUAAUUACUUUCAGUCUUAAAAAUGUGUGCCUUAGUCCUAGUUUGAACUGUCUACUUUUCAGUUACUGUAUCUUGUUAUACUUUUGUCCACUAUACUGAAAAGUUCAUUCACGCUGAGUACUCAAUGCUGGUACUUACUGACACUGUGUUACUCCUCAGUCACUUCUUUUAUAAAGGAAAUAGAUACAGCAAUAAGAGUUUUCUGCUAUGAUCUGUUUCUCAUUUCCCAUAAUAAGUUUCGUGGUUUUUCUCUGAAUUGUUUUCCCUCUGAGCUCGUUCUAAAUUCCUGAAAUGUAGGAGAAUGUAGAUGCCAUACUGUCAAGAACCCCAGGGAGAUGCCUUCUGCAAGCAAAGAUCUUUGUUACAUUGCUAUUGAAGCAUUUCUGUUACUUUCAAAUUGUGCCAUUAGAAUCUAAGCUCCUAUUCCAUCUCACAUCUCUCAAUUUUCAUUUUAAAGUAUUCCAUUUGAAAUAGCAGAAAGACAGGAAACAAUCAUGGCUUAUUUUGUGGGCCUAUUAUAUAGCAUUGUUCUGCUGACCACCAUUUGGAGUGGAAAUACAGAAUAUUUUAAUUCACAGGAGGAAUCACAAAUCUCAGAGAAGUCAUUUGUUUUAGCUCACCAAACUAUUUCUAGUGUAAUCAAAAUGCAAAUUCACUUAGUUUUGAUGGUUCUCACAUGGCCCAAAGCUGUAUUUAACUCUUUAUCUUUGGUCUUAUGUAGGUAGGUGAUGAAGCUUUUCUUGGAUCACGUACACAUGAAACACAUUUCACCCCUUAAUCUGGCCGACAUGAGAGAAGGAAAGGUGAAUAUUCUUGAACCUGGGCCUCCUAAUAACCUCAGAACUUUUAGUUUUGUUCAGCACUACGACAUCCACUGAUAGCACUAUUUGCUACAGUUUUCUAGCUAACACUUUCUAGAAAGUGUUUUCUAGAAAACACUUUCUGCCCCUAAAAUUCACAAAAGAUGCAAACUGAGGAUCACUAGAUAAUCCAUGUUUGCUUUUAAUUUGGUGCCAGACACUGCUAGUAUCUAAUGUACCUACUGGUGGUCUUUGGAGAAGGCACCUGCUUCUGCUCACAGCAGAAAACAGCUGGAAAGAAUGAUAACUUGGAUUUAAUUGCUCAAAUGCUUAAAGAACUGGGACACACCCUGUACCCACAUAGUGUGUCUCCUGGUAUUUUUUAAUUGAUCUAUCUUGUCUUUCAUCUACCCCACAAGCUGUGGGCAUUUUUCACAAAUUAUCUCCUCUUUGUCAUCCACAGCUCCAUUUUCUGGUUUUGCAGCCUGCUAAAUUGGUAACAGUGUAGCAGGAAAGAAAGAGUUUCUGACUCAUCUGUCAUGAGUCAUCUAACAGUUUGGUGAGGUUUUGUUUUUCUGCUAUGACUCUGCACCUGGCACUUGGAGUAGUACAACAUUACCUUUAUGUUUCUUCUGACACUGCAUUAAAACUUGUGAAUUCAUUGAGCACCCUGCUCAGAAAUGAACAGGCCACAGAAGAAACCUUGCUAAUACCCUCCAGCUUCUUUGCGUUUAAGUUGUGAUUCAGACCUGAUUUUCUUCUGCACCAAUGAGCUAUUUGCACUACUCUGGCAGCAAGGCUUGGCACCCCAGGAGAGCCAGGGCAUUGUGAGCUUUGCUCAGAUGUGUGUCUGUUCUGCCCUCUUUGCAGGGGCAACAACAAGCUUGAGAAGUAAGUCUGGGGUAGCCAGCCCAAGAGGGAACAUUACAGCAGAUGCUUUAUUGCUCAGUUUGCUGUCUCACCUUGAGCAGCUCUGCUACCCACAGCUACUCAGGUGGCCACAGUGUGCAAAAUGAUCCAGCCGCUAGGAGACACACACCCUCUGUCAGGCCUGGAAAAGAGGUUUUCUGGGCUGUUUGAUCCCACUAGUGGGGCACCACAGGGAAAUUAUGACAGACACACAAGGCCUUAACUGAGUCUUGAUAUUGUCAGUUGUAGCCUCUUGAUCAUUAACUACUUGGAUAAUUGAGAAACUUAAGAAAAAAUCAAUUGGUUUGGGUUUUUUUUUUCUUUUUCCCCUCAGUUCUAUCAUUUGUUGCCUUUACUUUUUCCAUGUUUUGCUAGAAGCUUAUUUAAUGUGGAUUACUGGACUUGAGAGCCUGCCACUGUGGACAUUGGUUAACUGGAACAGACAGACAACCACAUAACCUUGCUCUUUUGGUGUGAUUGAAAGCUCAUUGAUGUUGUAGAAAUCUUUUCGUUUUCCUCAGUACGUUUUCUACUGAAGUCUUACAGCAAAAGUCUGAUAGAAAAGGAAAGAGAGGAAAGGUACACGGCUUUCGCAGCUUUUCCUCUUUGCAUGAAAAAUGUCACACUGGUUCAGAGCUUGGGUACAUUUACAAAUCACCAUGGAUUUGAUGUAAACCUGGGGAGGCUGCCUGAGGAGCUGUGCCAGCCAGGCAGUGCAGGACAGUACCUACCCGAGGGGUAGGUCUAUGCAGUCUGGUAGAGCAACAACCACAGGGCUGUGGUGCUUUCAGGGCACAAAGAUCCAUGCAGGGCUGUAUUUAGUCAAAUACAUUUCUCAGUGCAAACUUGGUCAAAAGCGUGUCUUUGCAUGAUGCCUCAGGACAAAGCAAACAUCUCCAUCCGCCUUUCUUUCAUGGUUUUCCUGCUUUUACUUCAUUUUACAAGUCCAAUGCUGAUGAAAUGAAAAGGUCCUUCAUCCAUUAAAUAGAUCCGUGAAAUGGUAGCAUUCACUAUGGGUUUUUGCCUGUUUGACUGGUCGCUUGAUAAUGUAAUUACUUUCAGCAUAAUAGCCAAAAAUGAGCAGGCAUGUGGAUUGAGUUUCCAGUUUUUCACAUACUUGGUAAAUGAAGUAGUGAUACUCAGGUAAUCUCCUAAUUGUUGUUGUUUUGAAAGGUUGGUAUUUUGAUAGAUGCUAUCUUCUAAACUUUGUUGAGCAAGAGUGACUGUAUUAGGAGACUUCCUCUGGCCUACUUUCCUUUUAACACACACAUUACAAAGGGAUAUUCUGGCUACUCAGAAUAUCUCCCUCAGUACAGUGAGCUGUACUGCCUCCCACCUGUCAAAACAAUGUCACUCCAUACUGACUUACAGAAAAACUGUAAAUUGGCUUUUGUUUUUGCACUGUGCUUUUCACUUUUCCCCAAACAGGAACUCCCACCUCAUUUUGCAUCUGCUCUUACUGUGGAUGGAACCAAGCCCAGAUACUGCAGCUAGUCCAGACCCAUUCCCUGUGAAACUAUCAGCAAAGCCCCUAUCACCUCUGAUGGGAACAGGAUCAAGCACAAGACAGAGAUGGAGAUAGUAACAGAAGAUAAGGACAUAUUCAAGUGCAUUUGUAUGAGCAAUCUCCCACAACUCUCUGCCAGCCUCACAUCUGUAGGCUCUGGACACUGGAAGAUCAGCCAGCACUGAGAAACCUCAAGGUGAUGUAAAACCAACAUGUUUUGCUUCUCGAAUAGUACCUAAGUUUUACAUCUGACAACAGGUUUCAUUUCUUACUCACUAUGUUAUAUCCCAUACAGAAAGAUUUGGAAAGGCAAGGAGCAGUGACAGAGUUGUUCCACUCAGGACAGAAUGUGCUGUUGAAACAGCAGACAAGACUAUCAGAAAAUCAAAGGGGAAUAGAGAAAUGAGCAUGGGGAGUGAACAGAAUUAAGUGUAUUGAGUGAGCCUGAAAAGAAGUUUACGUAAGGCUUGACAGUGACACACUUCUUCAUACUUAAUGUUAUGUUAGUAUAUGUAGGGUAAAUUAUUACUGACUUGGGGGCAUCAAAAUCACACCCAUCAGGCUCUAGAAGUAAGAAAGCUACUGUCUGGAAACAUCACCUAAAAUUAACAAGUCAGUGAAACUGCUUUAGCAUAGGCAAACAGGUCAAUCUGCUUUGAAUUUGUUAAGCAGCAAUGCUUUGAAAUGGCUGUGGUUGAUGCUUUUAAGAGUGAUUCCCAGAUAUGCUUUAGGAGCUAUGCUUGAAUUGAGAAAGCAUAUUAAAUGUAUUUCAAAAGAGAGAGCAUACCCAAAUUUAGCUUCAAGUUUUCUUUUUCAGUCAUCUGGCAGCAAUGGGAAGCCACGGUGGGCACAAUCAUCUCAUGUAGCUUAAGCUGCCCAAAAAAGGACAAGAAAAGUUAAGAAAAAGCUAUGCACUGUAUUUUGUCUCUAAAAUAUUUAUAGUCAAAGCACUAAUAUCUAGCCAUCUGCUAUGUUGUAUCUGAUGGUUCCUCCAGGUAAAUAAAAUAUUUGUUCAAUGAACUCAAAAAAGUUGACUCAAACCCUUUAGCAACUCUGAUUAUUCACCUCUGAAUUUCCUGAGAUGAACACUGUCUCUUUUGCCAGGAGGCUGCAAGUAGUGCAGAAUAAUGUGUACAUGCUACAUUUUGUUAAAUAAGCCUCACAACCAGCAUUGUGGAAAGAGGAAGAUGUAUAAAAAAAAAUUUGUGGAUGCAAACUUAUCAAAACUUGUUAUUUCAACAGCUCUCAGCAUGAAGAAAUGUACUUUACUGCAAAAGAGAUUUAUACUAGGACUAUUAAUUUAUCCUCUUUUUAUGGUACCUUUAUGCAGGUUCAUAAACUGAAGUUUACCCAGAAUAUAUUUUUUAAAUACUAAUAGCAAUGAAUAAGCAUAGAUGUAUUUGUGUCUGUGUGUGUGUGUUGUCAACUGUUUGAUUUGAAAAUUUCAAGAGCUGAGACCUACUAAUUAAUGCAGAAACCAUUUCCAAACUAGUGAAAUUGGAGUUCAAAAAGACAAUUCAGAUGAGAGAACAUUAAAAGACUUUCGUUGGAGUGCCUGUCAGAGCAGCGGAGUGUGCACCAGGAUUCCUCAUCUGCAUCAUGGUUAAGGCAUCCACUCUCCCAGACUGCACAAGGGGGGAGGAUGCCAACCCACCUCGCAGCACUGGCAGCCCUCUGCUCCUCAAACAAUGCCACAAAAAACAUGUUGAAGCCAAUGGUGGGCAUCAGGGGAAAAUCAAGAAACUCCCGUCUUCCAGACAAGAUAACAACACAAGGGGAAGAUGUGGAAAGCAUUGCUAAAAUGCUUGGGAAUGCUCAAAGUGAAGAAAUUGGGUAAUUAUUGACAUAAGGCUUAAUCGUCCUGUCAUGCCGGUAUUAUGACAGCAUAAUUCUGCUGACUAUGAAAGAGUUGCUUCUGAUUCAGACUGAACUAAGCUGAGUGGGAAUCAUGAUGAGAACCAUGAGAAAGUCUGAGCUUGAUGCUGAGCUUGGUACAUCUCUGUGUAUCUGAGUCAUGAACUGGCAUGAGAAUUUGGACUUGAGGAUUUUUGACUCUUCCUCACUCACUCUUCUGACUAGACAAACCAAGCCAGUACUCAAACUGCUCUCUGCAGCAGGACCAGCUGCACCGUUUCUGAGAAUAUUUGUGGUAGAAGUCACAAAUUUUCUUUUUUAUUUAAAUCUGCCAAUUUUCUUUAUUUU